GACCUGGGAUUCCCUGAAUGAGGUAGGUGAGGCCUCUGUGACCUCACAAUUGAACCCUGCCCUAGUAAUGCCAGCGUCUUACCUGAGGACAAGCCAGAGUCCAGAAGGAGGGCUUGAACCACAGCAAGUGCAUGUGACUGGGUGACAGCUGCUGAGGCAGAGCCAGCACCUGACUUGGAACUCCAGUUUCUAAAUGACAACAGGAAGAAUCUCUGCUGUUAUACAGAUCUCCAGAGCGACAUUCUCAGAAGUCAUUGACUGUUUCAUGGCAGGACCAGAGCCCAAGUCUGACCUCACUGAAACCUCAGACCAGCCUGGUGGCCAGAUGGAUGUGAAUGAGAAGGUCCAUCAUCCCUUCUCAUCCAACUUUGAGUCCUCCCGUGUCCACCCAUCAAGGCCAUUUGUUCUGUCCAGAUAUUCUUUUCAAACUACGAAGGAUCCUCAGAAGUCAGGAGAGUUUUUUAUUACACAUGGCCACUUCAUCCCUUUCACUAUUGUUAAACAAAAGAAAGCCUGCCA
Long non-coding RNA from Mesocricetus auratus (golden hamster), 519 nucleotides. RefSeq lists it as uncharacterized. The transcript is spliced from 4 exons. NCBI's taxonomy places the organism in Eukaryota, Metazoa, Chordata, Mammalia, Rodentia, Cricetidae. The record is from RefSeq and is a predicted model, not a curated record.